GGAGCUGCAAAAUGUGCAUAACAUUCAAAUGGAUUCAAACUUCCCCGCCCCUUAAAUACAGAGUUUUCAAAUGGGUUGGUAGGAGAAUUAUAUGAACAUGCCAGAAUCCCAAGAUCCUCAGGUGAGAGAUUUCUAUUAGUCCCACCAACCCAUCCAGUGGUUAGUUGGUUGUAUGGAAAGGGCUUUUUAGGAGAAUGGACUGUACUUCUACAUUCAGUGUUAUGUUUUUAAACAAUUUAAUUUUUUUUAAAAAAAACUAGUGGUGCUUUAAUUUUUUUUUUUCGUGUCAGGAGCAACUUGAGUUGCUUCUGGUAUGAGAGAAUUGGCCGUCUGCAAGGACGUUGCCCAGGGGAUACCCAGAUGUUUUAAUGUUUUACCAUCCUUGUGGGAGGCUUCUCUCAUGUCCCCGCAUGGAGCUGGAGCUGAUAGAGGGUGGGAUUCGAACCUGGCAGUUUCAGAUCAGCAACCCAACCUUCAAGUCACGAGGCUUUAAUCCACUACGCCAACGGGGACUCCGGUGCUUUAAUAAUAACUUGCUUAAUUGUGUUUUAAUUCUUUUAUCAUCAGGUUUUUAGCUUUAUUUGCUUUUGACCUUGGGUCCCAUGUUGGGAGAAAAUACACUGAUUUUGGAUCCAGAGAUUCAACUAUACAUGGCUUGAAAAUAUCCCCCCUCCCAUUUUGUCUAAAGAAUGUCAUUUUACUAUGUCAUUGUGAAUAAUGGUACUUGAGCAUCCACGGAUUUUGGUAUCUGUGGGGGAUACGCAAGUGCUGGACCCAAACUCAGCUGAUACCAAAAGUCCACUGUACAAGUAAAAUCAAAUAAAUAAUAAAAUGUCUCUAUGAGCGGACUGUUUCUCAAUUAACAACCUAUGAAGUACGUUGGACCCAACAAAACCUUUUCCCUCCUUCCCCUCUCUUUUGCUCUGUCCUCACAAUUAACAUCUCCUCUUUAUGUCUGUUUGUCUUUUUAUGUUAGGAGAAGUGUUACCAUCAGCCAAGAGGAAUGUGCAUAUAAGGAAGAGGGAAGGGGUUCAGAAAAGGGAACCCUCUCAAGGAAGAAUCCUGUCUUGCUACUGGGCCUGAAUCCAGGGCCAGGCUGUACUGAAGGUCACUAAAAAUAACAUCUGGAUUGGGAAAUGGAGACAAAAAAGAGAUUAUGGUCAGCAUCACAGAAUGCUUGAGGAAGUCAUCUACAACAACACAUGGAAAAAAGUGAGCGGGACAUAAUUUCUUUCCCUUUGGCAUUCUCUGUUCUAUACUUCAGGAAUCUUCUUUCGCUUUGUAUUUGUGCUCUUUAACCUUUUUAUUAUCAUGUUUGUUGAUUUAAAUGGCUCUCUAUAAGCAUUUCAAUAUCCACCAAUUGUCCUAUCAUUUUCCUCUUCUAAACAAGCCCACGCCUGAGUACUGAUCACAGACUCACCUAGUUUAUCCUUUGUAGCUUUGGAAACAGUGAAGCACGCUCUUGCCACACUGGCCAUCUUUUCCACAGGUUCUUGGCUCUGACACCUGAAGUCGGAGAUGGGAAUCAAAGGGGGCUGGAACUCAAUAGAGACCCUCAUAUCCAGAACAGGGCGGGACCUAGAAGAGAAAAGAAAAAGACAACGCAGUCACAUCCAUUGGCCAGGGGUUACAAAUUGUCAGUCCUCCCAGAAAACAUACAAGUCGAUAUCUGGGAAAAAUUGCUGAACUUGUGUUCAGUUUUUUAAAAGCCAGAGAAAAAAAGAAUGAUGGUAAAGGAUGAAGACAGUCUCUGGAUGAGCAGGGCUAGCUCUGUAUUUGAGGAGGUCUGAACUGUUGUUUUUUUGUGUGUGACAGGAGCGACUUGAGAAACUGCAAGUCGCUUCUGGUGUGAGAGAAUUGGCUGUCUGCAAGAACGUUGCCCAAGGGACGCCCGGAUGGUUUGAUGUUUUACCAUCCUUGUGAGAAGUUUAUCUCAUGUCCCUGCAUUGGGAGCUGGAGCUGACAAAGGGAGUUAAUCUAUGCUCUCCCUGAAUUUGAACCAGCAAUCUUCAGGUCAGCAACCCAACCUUCAAGUCAGUAAUCCUGCUGGCACAAGGUUUUAACCCAUUUUGCCACCAGGGGCUCCUGACUAUGGAUUAAUUGGUGAAAUUAUAGGUCAGGAAAAUCAUUCCCACAAUAUAUGGCUGAUAGCAUGGGUAACUGAAGGGUUAAAAUCACUCAGUGCCUAGAGGGGCGAACCAGGAAUCCCAUAUCCGGCCAGGCAACUGUGACCAGCCAAGAUGCCAUGUCCGUGAGUGUUAACAGAGAUAAACAGAUACAGUAGAGUCUCACUUAUCCAAGAUAAACAGGCCACCAGAACAGUGGAUAAGCAAAAAUCUGGGAUAAUAACGAGGGAUUUAGAAAAAACCUAUUAAACAUAAAAUUACAUUAUGAUUUUACAAAUUAAGCACCAAAACAUCAUGUUUUACAAGUAAUUGACAGAAAAAGCAGUUCAAUACACAGUAAUGUUAUAUAGUAAUUACGAAUUUAGCACCAAAACAUUGCAACAUUUACUACAAAAAUAAUGACUACUAAAAGGCAGACAGCCUUGGAUAAUACAGAACCUUGGAUAAGUGAAGCUUGGAUAAGUGAGACUCUACUGUAAUUGCAACAGUACAAAAGCACUGGCUGUGUGCUUGGUACUUUCUCUUCCAUUGUGAUCACCUCUCUGUAAGUAACUGUAAAUAGUUAGAACUAGAAAUAAAGCAUUUGCCACUGAGGUUGAUUAAAAAAGCACAGAGGCAGAGGAAGAGCACAUAGGUGCAGCUCUGUUUUAAAAGUGCAUGCCUCAGAUCAAACUGCUCAGGAUCUGAAGGCUGCAAAUUCCAGGGGUCUCUCAGACAUCAUUGUAAAUGUCCCUUAAAGCUUGAUAGAUCAGGUAAAAACAUUUUUCAUUCGACACAGGUUUACCUUUGAAAGUGGUCCUCAGACCAAAAGGGGAAUCUAUUUGGAGCACCUGUGUAAGAAAUCAGUUAAUGUGUUUGUCAACUGCAAAAUAAAAUGCGUGAAGAUGAUUGGUUGAGCCAUAUCUGGAGCGCUGUUAAGCCUGGGAGUUUCUGAUACUGUUGUAAUUUUGUUCAGGCUUGAGCUAAGCAGGUGCAGUGAUAGUUGGAAGAGAAAACUAAAGGAGAGAGACACAGAAUUUGAAGUGUGCUCUUGCUUCAUGGAAUUUAUCCACAUGGACAAAAGAAAUACAAUUUUAAUUCUCUCAUAAAAGGACACUAUGUGAGUUGGUGCAACUGAGCACAUUGUACAUAUGUUGUUCUGAGUUUAAGAAGAACAAACCACUUGUUCUUUAUUGUUCACCUGCGUGGCACAUUAUCUUCUUUCUCUGGCAAGACAGUGCGUGGACUACACAUUUUGAUUGUUCAUUCUGUAACAACCUGGACCUCAACAACUACACAAAGUUGUUGGGUUCAGAUAUCCAGGGCUAUGAAUCACAUCUGGAAUUACAUGGAAGCUUGAAGAUAUCUUGGAGUCAAUGAAAUCCCACUCCCCACAUACAAAUCUAGCUAAUUCAGUCGACAUACAUAGAGUGAUGAUAUUUCUGUGUGUUACACAUAAAGCUAUCCCACCAAAGAAAAAUGAUGAGGAUAUCAAAAACAAAAGGAUUGCAUGGUUAGGUUUUGUUCAGAGGGAACAAAGAGGAAACCAAGAGAAAGUGGGAAUCCUCACCUGAGCAGCAGGACCUGUCCCUGUCGUCCCACCGCGAUGUCCUUCAGCCCAUCCCCUGUAAGGUCUGUCCCUCCACUGACAGCUUGGCCGAAGUACAGGAGCCCUCCAGAAAAGCGUAGCCCUCCAAUGCGCUGCAAAAAGAAAAAGAGAGAGAGAGGAGGCAAAAUUGAAGAUGUUAUUAGAUAUAGACUAUGGCUAACAAGGAAAGGAGAUUCCACCUGAAUCUGGCUGUAAGAAGAGCUGUUCAAGGGUGGAGUGUGAUAAAGACUCCUUCUUGGAGGCUUUUAAACAGAGGCUGGAUGGCUAUGAACUUUUCCUGCAUGGCAUGGAGUUGAACUAGAUGACCUAUGUGGUGUCUUCUGUUGGAUUAUGGAUGUAUGUGUAUGAAAUGUAAAUCAAGUGUUUCUGCUGUUUUGCAAGAGUGUGUGUUUCAGUAAUGAGACAGUUAACAGCAGGCUAUUUAGACUGAUUUCCGGCUUUGGAGGUCGGAACUUCCUUCAGACGGAGGAAUGUUUUAUCUUAUCUCUGUGUGUGUUGAGCUGGUGCUUGCCGAGGCAAGAGGCUAUAGAAGAAUGCCAGCUCAGAGCGAUGGCUUUUGCUAUGCUUUGUAAAUAUGUUUGUAGAUAUUGAAAUAAAUGUUUGAACUUCAGACUAA
Molecule: long non-coding RNA, 4330 nt
Organism: Anolis carolinensis (green anole)
Lineage: Eukaryota; Metazoa; Chordata; Lepidosauria; Squamata; Anolidae
Exons: 2
Source: RefSeq, a predicted model, not a curated record